This 2009-nucleotide long non-coding RNA is filed under the name Prunus persica (peach). RNAcentral's name for it is "long non-coding RNA (PPER_LNC004107)". The record is from RNAcentral. Lineage: Eukaryota; Viridiplantae; Streptophyta; Magnoliopsida; Rosales; Rosaceae.
UUCACUUCCGUCCUUCUUUUCCACUUCACACCUUCUGUCUACAGUUUCCCAUCUGGGUUUAGUGAGCACGGACUUGAAAUGAAUUUUGGGUUUGUUUUCACUGUGAUGUAUGCUCUGUACUAUGUUGGCUUGGAUAAGAAAGCAGGGUCCUUGGCAGCUUUGCUCUGUUUUGUCAAUUGGGUUGGAGCCAGUGUUCUUGGUGGUGAGCUUGGGUUUUCAAAAUCAUGGAAGGUUGUUCUGAUUGGUCAGUUGCUCUCCUGGGCUGGACAGAUCAUAGGCCAUGGGGUUUUUGAGAAAAGAGCUCCUUCAGAAAACUUUGCUGAAGGGCUUCUGAUGGGGCCUUACUUUGUGCUGCUUGAGCUUCUUCACUUCGCCUUUGGCUAUGAACCUUAUCCAGGGUUUUACAAAAGUGUGAAUGCAAAGAUUGAUGCUGAUAUCGCAGAGUGGAAGGUGGCCAAGAACCAAAAGAAACUCUCUUAAUUAUCUGAGAUGGAUUGAGAUGAAUGUACUGGUUAUUUAGUAUUAAAAUUUUGUCAAAUCUCUUAUGUAGUUUAUGAACUUUGGUAUUUUGUAUGAAAAUUUUGUAAAAUUACUGUAGUUUCCUUCCUUUAUGAACUUUAUGAAUGUACUGGCUUUCUACUAUCAGCUUCUUCUUUUAACCUUUCGGUUUUUUGACAACUAGAUCAAAUGCAACUUUGCAUUUUUAAGUUUCUUCUUUCUUGGGAUGUUUGCUUUCUUUCUAGAUUACCUCUAAUGAUCUCGUCAGCUUGCUUUGCAAAUUAAUGCAACUUGCACAAAGGAAUCUUCUGUUACUUGUUCAAGGUACUGACAAAGACAAUGCAUUAUUCUUAUUAAAAGACCGGAAACAAAGGUGCAGUUUUCCUGUACUAAUUGCAGAGGACAUGAUAGCCUAUAAUAUAUUUUGAUGCAAAAGUUUGUAUAAUUUCAAUGCCUUUCGACAUGAAAAUUCCGAGGUACGAUGUAUUUCCUUGUAAUUUGUUGGCUUUGUAUUACAACUAAAUAACAUCAAAUCCAAGGUUUACUGACACCAAAUCAGCCAAACCAGAAAUUAGGAGGUAGAACACAUGAUCAUUAAAAUUGAGUUUAAUAAAAGUGUCAUUGGUUUGCUUCAACUUAAAGACUUCACAUGAAUAGGUGGCCAGAUCCAAUCAAUUGUGAGGCAUGUGUCUCAUGGUGAUCCAUAAGAACUCUGGUUGCCAUAGAUACAAGACAAUGGUGGGUAGAAAUAUGAUUUAAUAUAUAGCCCAAUCCAAUCCUUUCCCAUAAAAUUAGUUUAACGAUAUUAUAAAAAAUGACCACUUACACAUUGUUAUACAAUUAAGAAAGAAAAUUUCAAAGUAGCUAGCAGGAAACUUCACCAGCUGUGCUUUUAUCUGUACCCAAUUUGUUUCAUUUGCCAGUCAAGUCUAAAUUUCCAGUAAACCCUGUCCUUUUCUUCCAACAAACACAAUUCAAUUUGGCAAGAAAAGUUUCAUGGGGAGGACUGGAUUGUUUGAUCUUGAAAGGCACUUUGCCUUUUAUGGAGCAUAUCACAGCAACCCAGUUAACAUUUUGAUACACACUUUCUUUGUGUGGCCAUUAUUCUUCACUGCUGCCGUUCUUCUCCAUUUCACACCUUCUCUCUACAAUUUCCCAUCUGGGAUUAGUGAACAUGGUCUUGAAUUGAAUUUUGGGUUUGUUUUUACUUUGAUGUAUGCUGUUUUUUAUGUUUGCUUGGAUAAGAAAGCAGGGCCCCUGGCAGCUUUGCUCUGCUUUCUCUGUUGGGUUGGAGCCAGUUUUCUUGCUGGUGGACUUGGGUUUUCCAGGUCAUGGAAGCUUGUUCUGGCUGCUCAGUUGUUUUGCUGGACUGGACAGUUCAUAGGCCAUGGGAUAUUUGAGAAAAGAGCACCGGCUAUUUCAGACAACUUUGUUCAAGCACUUCUAAUGGGGCCUUACUUUGUGCUGCUUGAGCUUCUUCAAUCAGCCUUUGGCUAUGAACCUUAUCCAGG